CGGCACGUAGCUCAAGAGCAGAGCACCCGGCUCCGGCCUGGAGGGUGCGGGGGCAGGACCCGCCGUGCCGG
This 71-nucleotide transfer RNA is filed under the name Nocardiopsis algeriensis. Its description in RNAcentral is "tRNA-Arg". The record is from RNAcentral. Lineage: Bacteria; Bacillati; Actinomycetota; Actinomycetes; Streptosporangiales; Nocardiopsidaceae.